GGAGUUGGCCAGGCAGUCGCUGCUUUUACGGUUCGCCGUAAAAGGGGAGGAAAGUCCGGGCUCCAUAGGGCAGGGUGCCAGGUAACGCCUGGGGGGCGCGAGCCUACGGAAAGUGCAGCAGAGAGUAAACCGCCGAUGGCUCCCCGGAGCACAGGUAAGGGUGAAAGGGUGCGGUAAGAGCGCACCGCAUGACUGGCAACAGUUCAUGGCAUGGUAAACCCCACUCGGAGCAAGACCAAAUAGGAACCCUACAGGUGCGGCCCGCACUGGGUUCGGGUAGGUUGCUUGAGGCCUGUGGCAACGCAGGCCCUAGAUGAAUGACUGUCCACGACAGAACCCGGCUUACGGCCGACUCCACAU
Molecule: RNase P RNA, 360 nt
Filed under: Oceanospirillum linum
Lineage: Bacteria; Pseudomonadati; Pseudomonadota; Gammaproteobacteria; Oceanospirillales; Oceanospirillaceae
Also listed under: 1 other name
Description: Bacterial RNase P class A
Rfam family: Bacterial RNase P class A
About the family: Ribonuclease P (RNase P) is a ubiquitous endoribonuclease, found in archaea, bacteria and eukarya as well as chloroplasts and mitochondria. Its best characterised activity is the generation of mature 5'-ends of tRNAs by cleaving the 5'-leader elements of precursor-tRNAs.
Source: Rfam by way of RNAcentral